GUUUCUCAUCACAAUUCCACCUUACUUGACAACCUAUAUGUCUGAAAGAAAUUACGAUUGGAACACAUAUGAUGCGAACAUGUCGAAUCAAGAAUCCACUCCUCGUCAGUUUUAGACUCUAUGUCAAAUACUACGGUCAACAUCACAUCACCGCCAUAAAAAAAAAAUCUCGAUAACAUUAGCCUUGUCCGAAUUGAAUGAUUGUUCCCUAUGAUUUGCAGCUAAAUUACCUUUAGCCUGCAAUUUGUCACAAUUCUUUUUAACGUGUCCUCUCCUUCUGCAGUAGAAGUAGUACAAAUUGCUGAAAUUGACUUUCGAUCUACCCUUUCGUUGAUCACCAUGAGAUAUAAGGUUCAUCAUCCCUCAAUGUAGCUCCAACCAGAUAUUUCAUCAUCUUCUUUGAGAACAGAGCAUCGUAGACAUCCUCAAUGGUCAAAGUAUCACAACUAUACAGAAUGGUGUCCUGAAACGACGAAUAAGAGGUAGGCAGGGAACACAACAGGAUCAAGGCCAGAUCAUCCUCGUUGUAUUCAACCUCCGAUGUCUUUAAAUCUGCGACUAUUUUCUUGAACAGGGCAAUGUGGUCUUCCAGUGACCCUCCUUUCAUCAUGCAAUGGGAAUACAGCUUUUACUUUAGAGUUAGUUUGCUAGUGAAACUUUUAGUCAUACAUAACUGCUCC
This 680-nucleotide long non-coding RNA is filed under the name Olea europaea subsp. europaea. The record is from RNAcentral. Lineage: Eukaryota; Viridiplantae; Streptophyta; Magnoliopsida; Lamiales; Oleaceae.